RNAcentral lists this ribosomal RNA (524 nucleotides) under uncultured bacterium. Its description in RNAcentral is "bacterial SSU rRNA". It matches the Rfam family "Bacterial small subunit ribosomal RNA", at positions 355 to 896 of the family's 1533-position model. The record is from RNAcentral.
UGGGGAAUAUUGGACAAUGGACCAAGAGUCUGAUCCAGCAAUUCUGUGUGCACGAUGAAGUUUUUCGGAAUGUAAAGUGCUUUCAGUUGGGAAGAAAGAAAUGACGGUACCAACAGAAGAAGUGACGGCUAAAUACGUGCCAGCAGCCGCGGUAAUACGUAUGUCACAAGCGUUAUCCGGAUUUAUUGGGCGUAAAGCGCGUCUAGGUGGUUAUGUAAGUCUGAUGUGAAAAUGCAGGGCUCAACUCUGUAUUGCGUUGGAAACUGUAUAACUAGAGUACUGGAGAGGUAAGCGGAACUACUAGUGUACAGAUGAAAUUCGUAGAUUUUUGUAGGAAUGCCGAUGGGGAAGCCAGCUUACUGGACAGAUACUGACGCUGAAGCGCGAAAGCGUGGGUAGCAAACCGGAUUAUAUACCCUGGUAGUCCAUGCCGUAUACGAUGAUUACUAGGUGUUGGGGGUCGAACCUCAGCGCCCAAGCAAACGCGAUAAGUAAUCCGCCUGGGGAGUACGUACGCUAGUAUG